This 309-nucleotide unclassified non-coding RNA is filed under the name fungal sp. RNAcentral describes it as "partial internal transcribed spacer region". The record is from RNAcentral. Lineage: Eukaryota; Fungi.
AAGUCGUAAGGUUUCCGGAGGUGGACGUAUCCAACGUAAAAACAACCCCGUGAACCUUCAGACGUGCUCUCUUUAGCAAUCCCUGGUAAAUCAUUGUCAAACAGAUUUGAGUCAGGGACUUCUUGGAUAUGGAGCUGGCACCCUAGCAAUCUGACACUGGUUGCGCAAGGGUGGCGCAGUAAACGAUCGCUGGAGGCCCACACGGCCGGCGGACGGGCCCCUGUGCCUACCACAGCACCUAACGACCCCAAUGUCUUGAAGCGGUCACCACCAACCGAACAACUGUUAACAAUGGAUAUCUUGGUUCUC